RNAcentral lists this long non-coding RNA (404 nucleotides) under Equus caballus (horse). RNAcentral describes it as "lncRNA (ENSECAG00000036592.3)". Lineage: Eukaryota; Metazoa; Chordata; Mammalia; Perissodactyla; Equidae. The record is from RNAcentral.
CUUGGUAACUCUGUGUAUCAGUUACUGCUUAAUUAGUAACAUAGAAUCACCAUAAGUAUUAGAGAAUAGGAAGUAUACCUUACCCAAUUGUGAGUGGACCUGGGGAACAAAACAUCCAAAAAGGAUCAGAGAAAAGGCAUUCGCACAGAUGUUCCCGCUUCUAUGGGAGGACUUUACUCUCAUUUCAGACAGACACUGUGUACUGCAAGGAAACAUCAGACGCCAGAAGAGAAAACAGGAGAGCUGCCACGAAAAGGAUGGCAAAUCUGGGCUGCCUUUUGCAACAUCUGUUGGGAGUCGACAAACUGCCUGGUGAUGGGCAGCCUGGAUUAUACUGAUCAGCUGCAGUGCCAGCUCCUGACCAUGGGGAGAUUGGUUUCCAGGUCUGCUGGGCUGGUGCCGAG